CGGCGCACCACAUCUUCCACCUGAUAUGUUGCGCGCCACCGUGGAAGAUGUGCCUCGCAUGCAGUUCUUGGAGCGUCUGAGUGGUGCUCAUAUUGAAUUCUCAUAUAUGUAAUUAACAAUAAACGUUGGCAUGUGUUGUUUGGAAGCUUGGUCUGUGCUGGCUCAUUUGGUGGUUGCGCAUUCCUUGAUCGCGCAUUCUGCAUUUCUGCAGCACCACAAUCCCUCCAUUGGUGACUUUUGGUGGUAUUUUGUUUUCUUUCGAAAUCGAAACCGCAAGUUCUGCUGUGUACCUCCACCGAAUUUUGUUACGUUUCGUCCAAUGCAUGAUUCG
Molecule: long non-coding RNA, 331 nt
Filed under: Androctonus crassicauda
Lineage: Eukaryota; Metazoa; Arthropoda; Arachnida; Scorpiones; Buthidae
Source: RNAcentral